AGAGUUUGGUCUGGCUCAGAUUGAACGCUGGCGGCAGGCCUAACACAUGCAAGUCGAGCGGAAACGACACUAACAAUCCUUCGGGUGCGUUAAUGGGCGUCGAGCGGCGGACGGGUGAGUAAUGCCUAGGAAAUUGCCUUGAUGUGGGGGAUAACCAUUGGAAACGAUGGCUAAUACCGCAUAAUGCCUACGGGCCAAAGAGGGGGACCUUCGGGCCUCUCGCGUCAAGAUAUGCCUAGGUGGGAUUAGCUAGUUGGUGAGGUAAUGGCUCACCAAGGCGACGAUCCCUAGCUGGUCUGAGAGGAUGAUCAGCCACACUGGAACUGAGACACGGUCCAGACUCCUACGGGAGGCAGCAGUGGGGAAUAUUGCACAAUGGGCGAAAGCCUGAUGCAGCCAUGCCGCGUGUAUGAAGAAGGCCUUCGGGUUGUAAAGUACUUUCAGUUGUGAGGAAGGGGGUAACGUUAAUAGCGUUAUCUCUUGACGUUAGCAACAGAAGAAGCACCGGCUAACUCCGUGCCAGC
Molecule: ribosomal RNA, 524 nt
Filed under: Vibrio splendidus
Lineage: Bacteria; Pseudomonadati; Pseudomonadota; Gammaproteobacteria; Vibrionales; Vibrionaceae
Description: bacterial SSU rRNA
Rfam family: Bacterial small subunit ribosomal RNA
Source: RNAcentral